CGGAAUGUUACCGUAGUCUGGUCGAACGGGCUUGCUUUGGGAGCAAGAAAUCGCCGCAGGUUCAAAUCCUGCCAUUCCGACCA
RNAcentral lists this transfer RNA (83 nucleotides) under Saprospiraceae bacterium. RNAcentral's name for it is "tRNA-Pro". It matches the Rfam family "tRNA". From Rfam's summary of the family: Transfer RNA (tRNA) molecules are approximately 80 nucleotides in length. The record is from RNAcentral. Lineage: Bacteria; Pseudomonadati; Bacteroidota; Saprospiria; Saprospirales; Saprospiraceae.